GACGAACGUUGGCGGCGUGCUCAACACAUGUAAGCAGAACGAAGAGCGUUGGAUGUUCGUUUCCAUCACAUUUAGUGGCGAACGGUAGAUUAAUGCGUAAUCAACCUGCACUUCAGUGUGGGAUACUAGUUGGAAACGACUGUUAAUACUUCUUACGAUUUACUCUUGUUAUCGAUGACAGAUGAAAGGUGGCCAUUAUAUUUAUGCCUAACAUGUAGUAGUUGAGUGCGUCGGACUAGCUAGUGGGCGGGGAAACGGUAAACUAAGGCGAUGAUCAGUAGGCGGCCUGAGAGAGUGAACGGACACAAUGGGACUGAGCCACGGCCCAGACUCCUACGGGAGGCAGCAGUGGGGAAUCUUCCGCAAUGGACGAAAGUCUGACGGAGCAACGCCGCGUGAGUGAUGACGGCCUUCGGGUUGGAAAGCUCUGUUAAUCGGGACGAAAGGCCUUCUUGCGAAUAGUGGGAAGGAUUGACGGUACCGGAAUAGAAAGCCACGGCUAACUACGUG
RNAcentral lists this ribosomal RNA (510 nucleotides) under uncultured bacterium. RNAcentral describes it as "partial 16S ribosomal RNA". It matches the Rfam family "Bacterial small subunit ribosomal RNA", at positions 28 to 507 of the family's 1533-position model. The record is from RNAcentral.